CCCUACGGGGCGCAGCAGUGAGGAAUAUUGGUCAAUGGGCGCGAGCCUGAACCAGCCAAGUAGCGUGAAGGAUGACUGCCCUACGGGUUGUAAACUUCUUUUAUAAAGGAAUAAAGUGAGGUACGUGUGCUUUUUUGCAUGUACUUUAUGAAUAAGGAUCGGCUAAUUCCGUGCCAGCAGCCGCGGUAAUACGGAGGAUCCGAGCGUUAUCCGGAUUUAUUGGGUUUAAAGGGAGCGUAGAUGGGUUGUUAAGCCAGUUGUGAAAGGUUGAGGCUCAACCGUAAAAUUGCA
Molecule: ribosomal RNA, 291 nt
Filed under: uncultured bacterium
Lineage: Bacteria
Description: partial 16S ribosomal RNA
Rfam family: Bacterial small subunit ribosomal RNA
Source: RNAcentral